RNAcentral lists this ribosomal RNA (251 nucleotides) under uncultured prokaryote. RNAcentral describes it as "partial 16S ribosomal RNA". It matches the Rfam family "Bacterial small subunit ribosomal RNA", at positions 525 to 775 of the family's 1533-position model. The record is from RNAcentral.
ACGUAGGGUGCGAGCGUUAGUCGGAAUUACUGGGCGUAAAGCGUGCGCAGGCGGUUCGCUAAGACGGGUGUGAAAUCCCCGGGCUUAACCUGGGAACUGCAUUUGUGACUGCACGACUGGAGUGCGGCAGAGGGGGAUGGAAUUCCGCGUGUAGCAGUGAAAUGCGUAGAUAUGCGGAGGAACAACGAUGGCGAAGGCAAUCCCCUGGGCCUGCACUGACGCUCAUGCACGAAAGCGUGGGGAGCAAACAG